This 253-nucleotide ribosomal RNA is filed under the name uncultured bacterium. Its description in RNAcentral is "partial 16S ribosomal RNA". It matches the Rfam family "Bacterial small subunit ribosomal RNA", at positions 524 to 776 of the family's 1533-position model. The record is from RNAcentral.
GACAGAGGUCCCGAGCGUUAGGCGGAAUCACUGGGCUUAAAGCGUGUGUAGGCGGAUCGUUAAGUGCCUUGUGAAAUCCCACGGCUCAACCGUGGAACUGCUUGGCAUACUGGCGGUCUUGAGCAACCUAGGGGCGAGCGGAACAAAUGGUGGAGCGGUGAAAUGCGUAGAUAUCAUUUGGAACGCCAAUGGUGAAAACAGCUCGCUGGGGGUUUGCUGACGCUGAGACACGAAAGCCAGGGGAGCAAACGGG